AGAACGAACGCUGGCGGCAUGCCUAAUACAUGCAAGUCGAACGAACACUUCGGUGUUAGUGGCGCACGGGUGCGUAACGCGUGGGAAUCUGCCCUUGGGUUCGGAAUAACAGUUGGAAACGACUGCUAAUACCGGAUGAUGACGAAAGUCCAAAGAUUUAUCGCCCAGGGAUGAGCCCGCGUAGGAUUAGCUAGUUGGUGAGGUAAAGGCUCACCAAGGCGACGAUCCUUAGCUGGUCUGAGAGGAUGAUCAGCCACACGUGGGACUGAGACACGGCCCAGACCUCCGACGGGAGCAGCAGGUAGGAAUAGUGGACAAGUGGGCGACGAAGCCUAGACUCCGAGC
RNAcentral lists this ribosomal RNA (345 nucleotides) under uncultured soil bacterium. Its description in RNAcentral is "bacterial SSU rRNA". It matches the Rfam family "Bacterial small subunit ribosomal RNA", at positions 26 to 397 of the family's 1533-position model. The record is from RNAcentral.